This 490-nucleotide ribosomal RNA is filed under the name uncultured bacterium. RNAcentral describes it as "partial 16S ribosomal RNA". It matches the Rfam family "Bacterial small subunit ribosomal RNA", at positions 30 to 507 of the family's 1533-position model. The record is from RNAcentral.
AUUGAACGCUGGCGGCAGGCCUAACACAUGCAAGUCGAACGGUAGCAGGAAGAAGCUUGCUUCUUUGCUGACGAGUGGCGGACGGGUGAGUAAUGUCUGGGAAACUGCCUGAUGGAGGGGGAUAACUACUGGAAACGGUAGCUAAUACCGCAUAACGUCGCAAGACCAAAGAGGGGGACCUUCGGGCCUCUUGCCAUCGGAUGUGCCCAGAUGGGAUUAGCUAGUAGGUGGGGUAACGGCUCACCUAGGCGACGAUCCCUAGCUGGUCUGAGAGGAUGACCAGCCACACUGGAACUGAGACACGGUCCAGACUCCUACGGGAGGCAGCAGUGGGGAAUAUUGCACAAAGGGCGCAAGCCUGAUGCAGCCAUGCCGCGUGUAUGAAGAAGGCCUUCGGGUUGUAAAGUACUUUCAGCGGGGAGGAAGGGAGUAAAGUUAAUACCUUUGCUCAUUGACGUUACCCGCAGAAGAAGCACCGGCUAACUCCGUG